AUAGGUAAUGUGUCAUUGGCAAAGAAACAAAAGAAGUCGCUCCGAGAUAUUCAGAAAAUGGGAGCUGACGAGAAUCAAGUCGGUUCAUCCAUAGCAACACAUGCUUUUGGUGCAAAUGAUCAAGCCGGUUCGUCCACAACAACACAUGCUUUUGAUGAUGAUGAUACCUGUAAUUUGGAAACCUUAGCAGCAGCAGAGAAAGUUUAGAAGAUUUUCUGAACAAGUUUUAAUAUUGCAAGCCAUUUUGUGAUAGGACGCCAGCAGAAAUUUCAUGUGUUGAGUUUAUUUGGUUUGGGAAUUCUAAUGGACGAAUUUAAUAAUAGGAAAAUUUCGAAAA
This is a long non-coding RNA of Capsicum annuum, 337 nucleotides long. RefSeq lists it as uncharacterized. NCBI's taxonomy places the organism in Eukaryota, Viridiplantae, Streptophyta, Magnoliopsida, Solanales, Solanaceae. The transcript is spliced from 2 exons. The record is from RefSeq and is a predicted model, not a curated record.